RNAcentral lists this unclassified non-coding RNA (231 nucleotides) under fungal sp. RNAcentral describes it as "partial internal transcribed spacer region". The stretch from base 1 to 48 matches the Rfam family "Eukaryotic small subunit ribosomal RNA", at positions 1784 to 1831 of the family's 1831-position model. Lineage: Eukaryota; Fungi. The record is from RNAcentral.
AAAAGUCGUAACAAGGUUUCCGUAGGUGAACCUGCGGAAGGAUCAUUAACACUUUUUAUUAUUUUGUUUUUUUUCUAAAACAAAAUUUAAAACCCCACAAUUUUGGAUGAAUUUAAUUUAUUUAAUUUUUAUUUUAUUUUUUUUAUUAUAACCCUAUUAUUUGACUAACAUUUUUAUUUAAUUAUUAAAAAAUUAAAAAAACAACUCUUAACAACGGAUAUCUUGGCUCUC